AAGAUGAGCCUGUUAGGAGCAAUGGAUGGCUUGAGCCGCUGCAUUUAUACCCUUCACCAUUGCCAACUACCAUUCCUGAGAAAUUGAAUGAGAAUGCUUCUGAUAAAUUAAGGAAAGGUCAUGGGAUUGUGCGAAACUCCCAAGAUAAUGGAAAUAAUGGCUCAAACAGGACAUUGGAUGGGCAGAGUAAUAGUGGACAAAGUUAUCAGAAGCCAUCAGAUAGUGAAGAGAAUUCAGGGCAAUCUUCUGGACAGACCUGGAGGCACCCUAAUGUUAAUAGUUCUUCCGAUUGUUUGGUUACCACGUCAGUUCAUGUUUCUGGUACAAAAACAUCACCACAUAAGCUGGGAUUUGAUUUGCAUAAUCCUCCUUCCCCUCCAGCAUGUAAUACAUCAUCUGGACCGACCUGGAGACACCCUAAUGUUAAUAGCUCUUCUAAUUGCUUGGUUACCACGUCAGCUCAUGUUUCUGGUACAAAGACAUCACCACAUAAGCUGGGAUUUGAUUUGCAUAAUCCUCCUUCCCCUCCAGCAUGUAAUACAUCAUCUGGACAGACCUGGAGUCACCCUAAUAUAAAUAGUUCUUCCGAUUGCUUGGUUAACACACCAGCUCAUGUUUCUGGUACGAAAACAUCACCACAUAAGCUGGGCUUUGAUUUGCAUAAUCCUCCUUCCCCUCCGGCUUGUAAUACAUCUUCUGGACAGACCUGGAGACACCUUGAUAUAAAUAGUUCUUCCAAUUGUUUAGUUACCCCAUCAACUCAUGUUUCCGGUACAAAAACAUCACCGCAGAAGCUGGGAUUUGAUUUGCAUAAUCCUCCUUCCCCUCCAACAUGUAAUACAUCUACAUGGCAGG
This 855-nucleotide long non-coding RNA is filed under the name Phaseolus vulgaris (common bean). RNAcentral describes it as "long non-coding RNA (PVUL_LNC004471)". Lineage: Eukaryota; Viridiplantae; Streptophyta; Magnoliopsida; Fabales; Fabaceae. The record is from RNAcentral.